UGUCGUCAGCUCGUGUCGUGAGAUGUUGGGUUAAGUCCCGCAACGAGCGCAACCCUUGCCUUUAGUUGCCAGCAUUAAGUUGGGCACUCUAGAGGGACUGCCGAGGAUAACUCGGAGGAAGGUGGGGAUGACGUCAAAUCAUCAUGCCCCUUAUGCUUAGGGCUACACACGUGCUACAAUGGGUGGUACAGAGGGUUGCCAAGCCGUGAGGUGGAGCUAAUCCCUUAAAGCCAUUCUCAGUUCGGAUUGUAGGCUGAAACUCGCCUACAUGAAGCUGGAGUUACUAGUAAUCGCAGAUCAGAAUGCUGCGGUGAAUGCGUUCCCGGGUCUUGUACACACCGCCCGUCACACCAUGGGAGUUGGGGGCGCCCGAAGCCGGUUAGCUAACCUUUUAGGAAGCGGCCGUCGAAGGUGAAACCAAUGACUGGGGUGAAGUCGUAACAAGGUAGCCGUAUCGGAAGGUGCGGCUGGAUCACCUCCUUUCUA
Molecule: ribosomal RNA, 486 nt
Filed under: Turicibacter sanguinis
Lineage: Bacteria; Bacillati; Bacillota; Erysipelotrichia; Erysipelotrichales; Turicibacteraceae
Description: bacterial SSU rRNA
Rfam family: Bacterial small subunit ribosomal RNA
Source: RNAcentral